AAUCAACGCUGGCGGCGUGCCUAACACAUGCAAGUCGAACGCGAAAGUCCCGCAAGGGAUGAGUAGAGUGGCAAACGGGUGAGUAACGCGUGGGUGACCUGCCUUCGAGCGGGGGAUAACGCUCCGAAAGGGACGCUAAUACCGCACAACAUCCCGCCUUUGAACAGGCGGAAAUCAAAGCUGGGGAUCGCAAGACCCAGCACUUGAAGAGGGGCCCGCGUCUGAUUAGCUAGUUGGUGAGGUAACGGCUCACCAAGGCGACGAUCAGUAUCCGGCCUGAGAGGGCGGACGGACACACUGGGACUGAGACACGGCCCAGACUCCUACGGGAGGCAGCAGUGGGGAAUUGUUCGCAAUGGGCGCAAGCCUGACGACGCAACGCCGCGUGGAGGAUGAAGACCU
Molecule: ribosomal RNA, 402 nt
Filed under: uncultured bacterium
Lineage: Bacteria
Description: bacterial SSU rRNA
Rfam family: Bacterial small subunit ribosomal RNA
Source: RNAcentral